Molecule: ribosomal RNA, 253 nt
Filed under: uncultured bacterium
Lineage: Bacteria
Description: partial 16S ribosomal RNA
Rfam family: Bacterial small subunit ribosomal RNA
Source: RNAcentral
UACGAAGGGGGCUAGCGUUGCUCGGAAUCACUGGGCGUAAAGCGCACGUAGGCGGCUUUCUAAGUCAGGGGUGAAAUCCUGGAGCUCAACUCCAGAACUGCCUUUGAUACUGGAGAGCUCGAGUCCGGGAGAGGUGAGUGGAACUCCGAGUGUAGAGGUGAAAUUCGUAGAUAUUCGCAAGAACACCAGUGGCGAAGGCGGCUCACUGGCCCGAUACUGACGCUGAGGCACGAAAGCGUGGGGAGCAAACAGG